This is a non-coding RNA of Schistosoma curassoni, 45 nucleotides long. NCBI's taxonomy places the organism in Eukaryota, Metazoa, Platyhelminthes, Trematoda, Strigeidida, Schistosomatidae. The record is from Rfam.
AUGCAGCUGAAGAGUCCCAAAUAAGACGAGACGCGCGUCCCGUAU